This 1350-nucleotide long non-coding RNA is filed under the name Homo sapiens (human). RNAcentral describes it as "HSALNT0013059". Lineage: Eukaryota; Metazoa; Chordata; Mammalia; Primates; Hominidae. The record is from RNAcentral.
UGCAGGUCUGCUGCAGUUUGCUGGAGGUCCACUCCAGACCCUGUUUGCCUGUGUAUCACCAGCGGAGGCUGCAGAACAGCAAAGGUUGCUGCCUCUCCUUCUUCUGGCAGCUUCAUCCCAGAGGGGCACCGGCUUGAUGCCAGCUGGAGCUCUCCUGUAUGAGGUGUCUGUCAACCCCUGUUGGGAGGUCUCUCCCAGUCAGGAGGCACGGGGGUCAGGGACCCACUUGAGGAGGCAGUCUGUCCCUUAGCAGAGCUCAAGCGCUGUGCUGGGAGAAUGCUCCUUGUCAGGAUCUGCUGCACUCUUCAGAGCUGGCAGGCAGGAAUAUUUAAGUCUGCUGAAGCUGUGCCCACAGCCUCCCCUUCCCCCAGGUGCUCUGUCCCAGGGAGAUGGGAGUUUUAUCUAUAAGCCCCUGAUGGGGCUGCUGCCUUUCUUUCAGAGAUUCCCUGCCCAGUGAGGAGGAAUCUAGAGAGGCAGUCUGGCCACAGCCGCUUUGCCACACUGUGGUGCGUUUGGCCCAAUCUAAACUUCCCAGCCUCCUUAGCACUGUCAGGGGAAAACCGCCUACUCAAGCCUCAGUAAUGGUGGAUGCCCCCCCUACACCAAGCUUGAUCAUCCCAGGUUGACAUCAGACUGCUGGACUGGCAGUGAGAAUUCCAAGCCAGUGGUUCUUAGCUUGCUGGGCUCUGUGGGAGUGGGACCCGCUGAGUGAGAACACUUGGCUCCCUGGUUUCCGCCCUCUUUCCAGGUUUAAAUACACAUUGUAGUAGAUUGAAUUGUGUUUCCCUAAAAGAUGUGUCCAAGCUAUAACUCCUAGUACCUGUGAAUGUGGCCUUAUUUGGAAAAAAGGUCUUUGAAGAUAUAAUUAAGGAAGGGAUCUCGAAAUGAACUCAUCCUGGAUUAGAGUGGGCUGUAAAUCCAACGACAGAUGUUCUUAUGAAACAAAAGAAGAAGACACAGGGACACACAGGAGAGAAUGUCAUGUAAAGAUGGAGGCAGAGACUGGAGUGGUGUCUAUAAGCCAAAGAAUGUGAAGGAUUUCCUCUAGCCAUCAGAAGCUAGGAGAGAGGCAUGGAAUGAAUUCCAUCAGAAACUCCAAAGUAACAAACCCUGCUGACACCCUGAUUUCAGACUUUUGGUCUCUAUAACUGUGAGAGAAUAAAUUUUUGUUGUUUUAAGCCACACAGUGGUAAUUUGUUAUAGGAAUCCUAGGAAACUAAUAUAUACAUAUAAGGUUGAUUUCUGUAAAUGAAAUGACAGGGAGUAUAUGGGAACUUUCUAUUCUUUCUCAGUUUUGCUGUGAACUUAAAACUUCUCUUAAAAAAUAAAGUUUUUUAAUGGUUAAAAGUC